Molecule: ribosomal RNA, 406 nt
Filed under: uncultured bacterium
Lineage: Bacteria
Description: partial 16S ribosomal RNA
Rfam family: Bacterial small subunit ribosomal RNA
Source: RNAcentral
AUUGAACGCUGGCGGCAGGCCUAACACAUGCAAGUCGAACGAGUGGCGGACGGGUGAGUAAUGUCUGGGAAACUGCCUGAUGGAGGGGGAUAACUACUGGAAACGGUAGCUAAUACCGCAUACCAUCAGAUGUGCCCAGAUGGGAUUAGCUAGUUGGUGGGGUAACGGCUCAACAAGGCGACGAUCCCUAGCUGGUCUGAGAGGAUGACCAGCCACACUGGAACUGAGGCACGGUCCAGACGCCUACGCCAGUCAGCAGUUGGGAAUAUUGCGUAAUGGUCUCAAGCCUGAUGCAGCCAUGCCGCUUGUAUGAAGAUGGCCUUCGGGUUGUAAAGUACUUUCAGCGGGGAGGCGUUACCCACAGAAGAAGCACCGGCUAACUCCAGGCCAGCAGCCGCGGUAAUUC